AGCCAAAGGAGGUUGAAAAGCUUGUCA
This 27-nucleotide non-coding RNA is filed under the name Mus musculus (house mouse). The record is from RNAcentral. Lineage: Eukaryota; Metazoa; Chordata; Mammalia; Rodentia; Muridae.